GAUGAAGAACGCAGUGAAAUGCGAUAAGUAAUGUGAAUUGCAGAAUUCAGUGAAUCAUCGAAUCUUUGAACGCACAUUGCGCCCCCUGGUAUUCCGGGGGGCAUGCCUGUUCGAGCGUCAUUUCACCACUCAAGCCUCGCUUGGUAUUGGGCAACGCGGUCCGCCGCGUGCCUCAAAUCGACCGGCUGGGUCUUCUGUCCCCUAAGCGUUGUGGAAACUAUUCGCUAAAGGGUGUUCGGGAGGCUACGCCGUAAAACAACCCCAUUUCUAAGGUUGACCUCGGAUCAGGUAGGGAUACCCGCUGAACUUAAGCAUAUCAAAAAGCGAGGA
RNAcentral lists this unclassified non-coding RNA (330 nucleotides) under soil metagenome. RNAcentral describes it as "partial contains 5.8S ribosomal RNA, internal transcribed spacer 2, and large subunit ribosomal RNA". The stretch from base 1 to 120 matches the Rfam family "5.8S ribosomal RNA", at positions 35 to 154 of the family's 154-position model. The record is from RNAcentral.